RNAcentral lists this ribosomal RNA (386 nucleotides) under uncultured bacterium. RNAcentral's name for it is "bacterial SSU rRNA". It matches the Rfam family "Bacterial small subunit ribosomal RNA", at positions 30 to 416 of the family's 1533-position model. The record is from RNAcentral.
AUUGAACGCUGGCGGCAUGCCUUACACAUGCAAGUCGAACGGCAGCACGGGAGCAAUCCUGGUGGCGAGUGGCGAACGGGUGAGUAAUGUAUCGGAACGUACCUUUCAGUGGGGGAUAACGUAGCGAAAGUUACGCUAAUACCGCAUAUUCUGUGAGCAGGAAAGCAGGGGAUCGCAAGACCUUGCGCUGAUUGAGCGGCCGAUAUCAGAUUAGCUAGUUGGUGAGGUAAAGGCUCACCAAGGCGACGAUCUGUAGCGGGUCUGAGAGGAUGAUCCGCCACACUGGAACUGAGACACGGUCCAGACUCCUACGGGAGGCAGCAGUGGGGAAUUUUGGACAAUGGGCGCAAGCCUGAUCCAGCAAUGCCGCGUGCAGGAAGAAGGCC